UAAACGUCAGGUAUGGUCAGAUGUGAAAACAAAUUACCUUUUGAACAAAUUAAGUCAUUUUUUACGAAGCUAAAAUGGAAAAUGUGAAAACAGAAGAGAUCGGUGAUCCGGACGACGAUUAUUCGGAUAUAGCAGGUGACGGCGACAGCGAACCCAUAAUCAACAUCGUGCUGCCUCCGAAUGCGGCCAGUGGCUCAGCUGCACCAAAUAAUGGAAACAUACCCUUGUUUAUUAAGAAAUUGCGGAAGAUGGUGGACGACGACAAUGCCGACGACGUUAUCAGCUGGAAUGCCAGCGGGGAUGGCUUUAUAAUUCACGACCAAUUGACUUUCGUAUCGAAAACAUUGCCCAAGUAUUUCAAGCAUAAUCACUUGUCCAGCUUCGUCAGGCAGCUGAACCUGUAUGAUUUUCAUAAAAUUCAGAACGUUGAUAAGGACGAGUUUCAGUUCAGUCAUCCGUUUUUCCUUAAAGAUGUGCCUCAACUGAUGCCUUUGAUUAAGAGGAAAGCCACUAACCGCCCAAGAGGCCCUACAAACAGCCACGUAGACGCAGUUCACAGUGAAAUUCGAGAAGUGAUGAAUAUAGUUAAAGACAUCAAAAACAAAAACGACUCGAUCACAACCGAAAUGACGAAAUUGAGACAGGAAAAUGCCGCUCUUUGGAGCGAAAUGAACUCUUUAAGAGUGAAAUAUUCAAAACAAACUAAAAUCAUAAAUAAGUUAAUACACUUUUUGAUAUCGUACAUGCAGAAACAUCACAAUUCGAGAAAAAGCGGCAGGACUGUCAGUGCGGUGAAUUCGAAUAAGUAUCUUAAAACGGGACCAAAAAUCAUGGAGCUGGAUUAUAAGUAUAAGAAUAAUCCUCAUGAGUUUUGGAACGAUUUCGAUAGUAGAAAUUCUCCGUAUGAUCAGAGCGAGCAGAAUUACACAGUGCUUGAACCAGCCGAAGAUAAUUUAGAAAUUGGAGAACAAUCUCAAGCCAACACGUCCAAUCCCCAAACCAUGUCAGUCUCAUCCACCAUCGAAGAACUUCUCUCCACCGGCAGUCCCUUCAGCCAAACAUCAGAAGCCUCCAUAGACCAAAACUUACCCGUCAUAGACCUGGCAGCGGCCAGUCCAUCCUCUAGCAACGAUCCAAAUUCGGCCCUUCAAAGAACCAACAGCAAGGACAACCUGGGCUACUACAUCGACAACAGCCAGGUGGAGCUCAGCUCCAUCAAAGAACUACUCAAGGGCAUGUCGCAAGAGGACAUGGCCAACUUUUACAAACUCCUGAACGAGAACUACAACAAGCCCCAGGACAAUGAGCUACCGGGUGAUUUGACCUUGGAGCCUGACGACGACAUAGCAGAGAAGGAGUUGAUGGCCUUGACGGAAAUGGCGGCACCAGUCGAUUUCCCCGAGGAAUUGGACGUGUCCUAUACGCCGGACGUGAAAAAGAACGAAAAUGAGAAUUUUUAUCACAAAUAUUAUUUUAAUUUCUGCAAUUGCCAUUUUCUACGACUACAUCGCCGAAUGCAAAAUUAUUACAUCUUCAGGAUCAAAUGCAGAUCACCACAGUAACAGAAACGCUGACCAUCCACGGUACCGAUAUAAGGAUCGUUCCAGAUAUUCCAGGAUAAAACCAGAAUCGUCGUAUAAUGAUUUUGGAGACGAUGAGGAUGACUUCGAUUUAACCAAAAGACAACAGCAACCCCCUUCCGACGAUUAUGGACAUAUGAGAUUUGGAAAAAGAGACGAACAAUUCGAUGAUUACGGCCACAUGAGAUU
RNAcentral lists this unclassified non-coding RNA (1769 nucleotides) under Sitophilus oryzae (rice weevil). RNAcentral describes it as "heat shock factor protein 1-like, transcript variant X1". The record is from RNAcentral. Lineage: Eukaryota; Metazoa; Arthropoda; Insecta; Coleoptera; Curculionidae.